UCCGUAGGUGAACCUGCGGAGGGAUCAUUACGAGAGUGUCACCACUCCCAACCCAUUGUUUACCUACCCGUCCACCGUGCUUCGGCAGGCAGUCCUGUGGGACAGGGCCUCGCCCCCUCCGGGGGGUGCCUGCCGCUGGCCAACCAACCAUUCUAGCUGUUUUUGUACCAUCUGAGUCUUCCACAAAUAAACAAAACUUUCAACAACGGAUCUCUUGGUUCUGGCAUCGAUGAAGAACGCAGCGAAAUGCGAUAAGUAAUGUGAAUUGCAGAAUUCAGUGAAUCAUCGAAUCUUUGAACGCACAUUGCGCCCACUAGUAUUCUGGUGGGCAUGCCUGUUCGAGCGUCAUUUCAACCCUCAAGCCUGGCUUGGUGUUGGGGCUCUGCGCCUGCAGUCCCUUAAAUCCAGUGGCGGACACGCUAGGUCUCCGAGCGCAGUAGUUUCUUCUCGCUCAGGGCGUCCGGCGUGGGCUUGCCUCGCACCCAUCUUAUCAAGGUUGACCUCGGAUCAGGUAGGAAUACCCGCUGAACUUAAGCAUAUCAAUAAGGCGGGAGGGGAAGGUCGGACUGGCCAAGGGCACACAGGGGGGGAUA
This 593-nucleotide ribosomal RNA is filed under the name uncultured fungus. Its description in RNAcentral is "eukaryotic LSU rRNA". The stretch from base 195 to 348 matches the Rfam family "5.8S ribosomal RNA". Lineage: Eukaryota; Fungi. The record is from RNAcentral.